This 282-nucleotide small nuclear RNA is filed under the name Heterocephalus glaber (naked mole-rat). Its description in RNAcentral is "7SK RNA". It matches the Rfam family "7SK RNA", at positions 1 to 247 of the family's 331-position model. Rfam says of the family: 7SK was discovered as an abundant small nuclear RNA in the mid-70s but a possible function has only recently been suggested. Two independent studies have found that 7SK RNA binds the CDK9/cyclin T complex (known as elongation factor P-TEFb). Lineage: Eukaryota; Metazoa; Chordata; Mammalia; Rodentia; Bathyergidae. The record is from Rfam by way of RNAcentral.
GGAUGUGAGGGUGAUCUGACUGUGACAUCUGUCACCUCAUUGAUCACCAGGGUUGAUUCAGCUGAUCUGGCUAGCUGGUGAGUGUCCCUGUCCUCCCUCACUGCUCCAUGUGUGUCCCUCCUGAGGCUGUGCGCUAGGUUGAAGAGGACGACCACCCCUGAUAGAGGAGGACUGCUGGGACAGAGGAGUAGCUGCGCUCCCCUCCUAGAACCUCCAUCAUAUCAAUAAAUGUGAUCAUGUUGGCAUUUCUACCUGUGUCCCUGAGUCCAAGGGUUUCUUGGU